This 468-nucleotide ribosomal RNA is filed under the name uncultured bacterium. RNAcentral describes it as "bacterial SSU rRNA". It matches the Rfam family "Bacterial small subunit ribosomal RNA", at positions 30 to 517 of the family's 1533-position model. The record is from RNAcentral.
AUUGAACGCUGGCGGCAUGCCUUACACAUGCAAGUCGAACGGCAGCACGGGAGCAAUCCUGGUGGCGAGUGGCGAACGGGUGAGUAAUAUAUCGGAACGUGCCCAGUCGUGGGGAUAACGUAGCGAAAGCUACGCUAAUACCGCAUACGAUCUAUGGAUGAAAGCGGGGGAUCGCAAGACCUCGCGCGAUUGGAGCGGCCGAUAUCAGAUUAGGUAGUUGGUGAGGUAAAGGCUCACCAAGCCGACGAUCUGUAGCUGGUCUGAGAGGACGACCAGCCACACUGGGACUGAGACACGGCCCAGACUCCUACGGGAGGCAGCAGUGGGGAAUAUUGGACAAUGGGCGAAAGCCUGAUCCAGCAAUGCCGCGUGAGUGAUGAAGGCCUUAGGGUUGUAAAGCUNUUUUACCCGAGAUGAUAAUGACAGUAUCGGGAGAAUAAGCUCCGGCUAACUCCGUGCCAGCAGCCG